Molecule: long non-coding RNA, 413 nt
Filed under: Erythranthe guttata (spotted monkey flower)
Lineage: Eukaryota; Viridiplantae; Streptophyta; Magnoliopsida; Lamiales; Phrymaceae
Description: long non-coding RNA (EGUT_LNC001112)
Source: RNAcentral
AAAAAAUCGAAAAACACAAUCAUUAACACCAUCAUCAGUAUACAUCAGAAGAAACGCAUAUCUUUUAUAUAAAAAUAUAUAAUUACAUGCUACUAAACGUGACUAUAUAUAAUUACAUGUAUAUGACCAUAUGUGACUAUAUAUGACUACAUGUAUAUGACUAUAUGUGACUAUAUAUGACUACAUGUAUAUGACUAUAUGUGACUAUAUAUGACUACAUGUAUAUGACUAUAUGUGACUAUAUAUAACUACAUGUGACUAACUAUAUGAGUAUAGUCAUGUAUAGUAUAAUUUGAAUUUAUAGCUUCAAAUCUCACUUUUCAACCCGACAACAACUCCGAACUAUCGAAACUGGAACACUAAAAGCAGGCUCGGUUCGAUCCCAAACCAAAUAAAACGUAAAAUAAAAAAAA